RNAcentral lists this non-coding RNA (30 nucleotides) under Homo sapiens (human). The record is from RNAcentral. Lineage: Eukaryota; Metazoa; Chordata; Mammalia; Primates; Hominidae.
GCGCCUGGAUAACUGAGUUGCUGAUGCAGC